GUUAGGAAUAUUGGACAAUGGGCGAAAGCCUGAUCCAGCCAUGCCGCGUGUGUGAAGAAGGUCUUCGGAUUGUAAAGCACUUUAAGUUGGGAGGAAGGGCAGUAAGUUAAUACCUUGCUGUUUUGACGUUACCGACAGAAUAAGCACCGGCUAACUUCGUGCCAGCAGCCGCGGUAAUACGAAGGGUGCAAGCGUUAAUCGGAAUUACUGGGCGUAAAGCGCGCGUAGGUGGUUUUGUAAGUUGGAGGUGAAAUCCCCGGGCUCAACCUGGGAACUGCCUCCAAAACUGCAUGACUAGAGUACGGUAGAGGGUAGUGGAAUUUCCUGUGUAGCGGUGAAAUGCGUAGAUAUAGGAAGGAACACCAGUGGCGAAGGCGACUACCUGGACUGAUACUGACACUGAGGUGCGAAAGCGUGGGGAGCAAACAGGAUUAGAAACCCCUGUAGUCC
This 450-nucleotide ribosomal RNA is filed under the name uncultured bacterium. RNAcentral's name for it is "partial 16S ribosomal RNA". It matches the Rfam family "Bacterial small subunit ribosomal RNA", at positions 354 to 796 of the family's 1533-position model. The record is from RNAcentral.